CAAAAUUAUUUCUGCAACUCUACCGUCGUAUUAUGAAUCACUAAAAACUAAAAAGCGCUGAAAAACUUAUUUCUUAAACAUUUCGUGUUUUUCUUUAUUGUGCAUCGCUCUUUGCGCCUUGCAACGCUUAAAGGGCUGCUUGCAUCUGGCUUCCUUGACGGGUCCACGUUCGCUCUCUAAGACUAUGCACAAUCACUGAAGAAGGCUCGAACUGAGUCCGAAACGUUUGAUGUCAAUAAAGAAGAAAGAUCGUUUAAUGUGAUCGUUUUCAUGGAUUAUUUUUUUUCUCCAAAAAAACAUGCCUUACAACUGCGUUGGCUCUUUAUGAGCUUUUACUAUAUUUUAUUUUAAUUCGUUAAUGGAACAUUAUUAAUUGGUGCGCAUGCUCUUAGUAUUGAAGAAAUUUAUGAACAGGCUUUUUACGAAGAACAAGGAAAUUUCAAAAAAGCCAAGCAUGAUAUAAUAGAUGGCGCAUUAUAGUCCACAAAGCCAAAAAACCCCGGAUUCGAUUUCCGGUAGAAUCGGCAUUAAACUGCAGGUCCUAUAUAUGUGAUAAUCUGAUGCGUAACAUAGGUAUAUGAAAGAAAGAAAACCACGUUCAAAAAAAAGACUGAGGAGGAUGUCUUUCAAAUGUAUCUGUUAAUAAUUACAUAAGCUAACAAAAUAAGCUUUUUUUGCUUAAAUUAAUGGUUAGAAGCAUGGCUGACUAGAUUCUGCGCUUUUUACAAUAAUAUAGUAUGCCGCUGUAAGCCUCAUGUCGAUUCGAGAUUCGACGACGAACUGCAUAAAUAUGUCCUCGGUUGUCAGGAAGUAAACAUGGACUCGAGUUUAUAGAUGUCAAAAAUUAUAUUAUCAUCCGCAAUGUAAAUAAACUAAUAUGAAAAUAAACUAAUAAGGAACAAUAUUACUUUAGCUGAAUUCAUUAUUACAUAAGUGUGUAAUUUGCA
This 947-nucleotide unclassified non-coding RNA is filed under the name Camponotus floridanus (Florida carpenter ant). RNAcentral describes it as "uncharacterized LOC105254238, transcript variant X1". Lineage: Eukaryota; Metazoa; Arthropoda; Insecta; Hymenoptera; Formicidae. The record is from RNAcentral.